This 253-nucleotide ribosomal RNA is filed under the name uncultured bacterium. RNAcentral describes it as "partial 16S ribosomal RNA". It matches the Rfam family "Bacterial small subunit ribosomal RNA", at positions 524 to 776 of the family's 1533-position model. The record is from RNAcentral.
UACGGGGGGGGCAAGCGUUGUUCGGAAUUACUGGGCGUAAAGGGCGUGUAGGCGGCCAACUAAGUCCGACGUGAAAUCCCCAGGCUCAACCUGGGAACUGCGUCGGAUACUGGAUGGCUUGAAUCCGGGAGAGGGAUGCAGAAUUCCAGGUGUAGCGGUGAAAUGCGUAGAUAUCAGGAAGAACACCCGUGGCGAAAGCGGCUCUCUGGAACGGUACUGACGCUGAGACGCGAAAGCGUGGGGAGCGAACAGG